This 384-nucleotide ribosomal RNA is filed under the name uncultured bacterium. RNAcentral's name for it is "bacterial SSU rRNA". It matches the Rfam family "Bacterial small subunit ribosomal RNA", at positions 958 to 1340 of the family's 1533-position model. The record is from RNAcentral.
AACGCGAAGAACCUUACCUGGGUUUGACAUGCUUAGGACCGUCGGUGAAAGCCGGCUUCCCCUUCGGGGGCCUUUGCACAGGUGCUGCAUGGCUGUCGUCAGCUCGUGCCGUGAGGUGUUGGGUUAAGUCCCGCAACGAGCGCAACCCUUGUCCAUAGUUGCCAUCAGGUUAUGCUGGGAACUCUAUGGAGACUGCCGGUGAUAAGCCGGAGGAAGGUGGGGAUGACGUCAAGUCCUCAUGGCCCUUACAUCCAGGGCUACACACGUACUACAAUGGCCGGUACAGACGGUUGCAAUACCGCAAGGUGGGGCAAAUCUCAAAAAACCGGUCUCAGUUCGGAUUGCAGUCUGCAACUCGACUGCAUGAAGUCGGAAUCGCUAGUA